UACGUAGGUGGCAAGCGUUAUCCGGAAUUACUGGGCGUAAAGCGCACGCAGGCGGUUUGUUAAGUCAGAUGUGAAAUCCCCGGGCUCAACCUGGGAACUGCAUUCGAAACUGGCAGGCUAGAGUCUUGUAGAGGGGGGUAGAAUUCCAGGUGUAGCGGUGAAAUGCGUAGAGAUCUGGAGGAAUACCGGUGGCGAAGGCGGCCCCCUGGACAAAGACUGACGCUCAGGUGCGAAAGCGUGGGGAGCAAACAGG
RNAcentral lists this ribosomal RNA (253 nucleotides) under uncultured Enterobacteriaceae bacterium. RNAcentral describes it as "partial 16S ribosomal RNA". It matches the Rfam family "Bacterial small subunit ribosomal RNA", at positions 524 to 776 of the family's 1533-position model. Lineage: Bacteria; Pseudomonadati; Pseudomonadota; Gammaproteobacteria; Enterobacterales; Enterobacteriaceae. The record is from RNAcentral.